GAUGAACGCUGGCGGCGUGCCUAACACAUGCAAGUCGAACGGAGCUGCGACGCUGAUGAUUGGAGUACUUGUACGAAGAGAAUCUUGUCGUAGCUUAGUGGCGGACGGGUGAGUAACGUGUGGAUAACCUGGUCCAUCCAGGGGGAUAGCAGCUGGAAACGGCUGGUAAUACCGCAUAAGCGCACAGUAGGGCAUCCUACGGUGUGAAAAGAUUUAUCGGGAUGGAAUGGAUCCGCAUCUGAUUAGCCAGUUGGCGGGGUAACGGCCCACCAAAGCGACGAUCAGUAGCCGGCCUGAGAGGGCGGACGGCCACAUUGGGACUGAGACACGGCCCAGACUCC
This 341-nucleotide ribosomal RNA is filed under the name uncultured Butyrivibrio sp. Its description in RNAcentral is "bacterial SSU rRNA". It matches the Rfam family "Bacterial small subunit ribosomal RNA", at positions 28 to 339 of the family's 1533-position model. Lineage: Bacteria; Bacillati; Bacillota; Clostridia; Lachnospirales; Lachnospiraceae. The record is from RNAcentral.